UACAUGGGGUGCAAACGUUGCUCGGAAUCAUUGGGCGUAAAGGGCGCGUAGGCGGCCAUGCGUGUCUUCCGUGAAAUCCCUCGGCUUAACUGAGGACGUGCGGAAGAAACUGCAAGGCUCGAGUCCGGGAGAGGGGGGUGGAAUUCCCAGUGUAGCGGUGAAAUGCGUAGAUAUUGGGAGGAACACCGGUGGCGAAGGCGGCCCCCUGGACCGGAACUGACGCUGAGGCGCGAAAGCGUGGGUAGCAAACGGG
Molecule: ribosomal RNA, 253 nt
Filed under: uncultured bacterium
Lineage: Bacteria
Description: partial 16S ribosomal RNA
Rfam family: Bacterial small subunit ribosomal RNA
Source: RNAcentral